UACGAAGGGGGCUAGCGUUGCUCGGAAUCACUGGGCGUAAAGCGCACGUAGGCGGACUCUUAAGUCAGGGGUGAAAUCCUGGAGCUCAACUCCAGAACUGCCUUUGAUACUGAGAGCCUUGAGUCCGGAAGAGGUAAGUGGAACUGCGAGUGUAGAGGUGAAAUUCGUAGAUAUUCGCAAGAACACCAGUGGCGAAGGCGGCUUACUGGUCCGGUACUGACGCUGAGGUGCGAAAGCGUGGGGAGCGAACAGG
This 253-nucleotide ribosomal RNA is filed under the name uncultured bacterium. Its description in RNAcentral is "partial 16S ribosomal RNA". It matches the Rfam family "Bacterial small subunit ribosomal RNA", at positions 524 to 776 of the family's 1533-position model. The record is from RNAcentral.